GCGAGAAGAUUUCAUGCUGUGACUCUCUGGAGGGAAGCGCUUUCUGUUGUCUGAAAGAAAACAAAGCGCUUCUCUUUAGAGAGUUACGGUUUGAGAAAAGC
RNAcentral lists this microRNA precursor (101 nucleotides) under Cercocebus atys (sooty mangabey). RNAcentral's name for it is "microRNA 518c (ENSCATG00000013689.1)". The stretch from base 10 to 96 matches the Rfam family "mir-515 microRNA precursor family". RNAcentral also lists the same sequence under 2 other names. Lineage: Eukaryota; Metazoa; Chordata; Mammalia; Primates; Cercopithecidae. The record is from RNAcentral.